ACUGGCGGACGGGUGAGUAACACGUAAGUAAUCUACCUUCGAGUGGGGAAUAACAUCGGGAAACCGAUGCUAAUACCGCAUAACGCAGCGGCACCUAAUGGUGACAGUUGUUAAAGGAGCAAUUCGCUUGAAGAGGAGCUUGCGGCAGAUUAGCUAGUUGGUAAGGUAAUGGCUUACCAAGGCUUCGAUCUGUAUCCGGUCUAAGAGGACGGUCGGACACACUGACACUGAAUAACGGGUCAGACUCCUACGGGAGGCAGCAGUAGGGAAUCUUGCGCAAUGGGCGAAAGCCUGACGCAGCGACGCCGCGUGAGGGAAGAAGGCCUUCGGGUUGUAAACCUCUUUCAGGAGGGACGAAGCCACUCGGGUUAAUAGCCCAGAGGGUGACGGUACCUCCAGAAGAAGCCCCGGCUAACUACGUGCCAGCAGCCGCGGUAAUACG
Molecule: ribosomal RNA, 442 nt
Filed under: Fusobacterium necrophorum
Lineage: Bacteria; Fusobacteriati; Fusobacteriota; Fusobacteriia; Fusobacteriales; Fusobacteriaceae
Description: bacterial SSU rRNA
Rfam family: Bacterial small subunit ribosomal RNA
Source: RNAcentral